CUCAAGCCCUCCAGUCACCGCAACAUUUUCCUGUUUCUCUCACUUCACCAGCUGACUCCAACCUCAGAACAAUCCAGCAGUCUCUUGGACUGCGUGUCAAGCGGCUGGGCAGGUUAAAACGCAAAUGAUUUUAAACCAGUUUGUAAAUUAAAGCGGCACAUUCCCAGCACACAGCCCGGCGUCGGACUCCAGCACCAGGUCCCUGCUUCGUCCGGCCCAGUACGAAUGAAGGCAGAGUUCCGCGGGCUGCCGUAGAGUUUGUCCAACUCUAGUUGGUCCUGAAUGCAAACAGAUUGGUGAGUGCUGGAAUGGGCUGCCAGGGACAAUAGCAGAAGUGGACAAGAUACUGUUUGCCUGGCUAUUAGGCAUGUGAAUCUGCAGGGAUGGAAGAAAAUAGAUGAUGUCCAGACAUUUAGUUUAAUUCGACAACGUGAGCAGAAAGGCCCGGUCCUGUACUGUAGCAUUCUGUGUUCUACGUCCCAGGGGGAUGUAUCUGUGUCCCAGGAAAUGUGUCAAAACACAGGAGAAGAUAGGCGGCUCGGAACAAAUAUCAGAGUCCCAGAAUAGUGGAAUGAGCCAACGACAUCUACUUUUUAAAAAUGAUUUUAUUUAGAUUCAGUGCAGGGUGGGCCCUUCCAGGCAGCCAUUCAAGCCCUUCAUCAAUUCCCAAUUUAACCCCAGACUAAUCACUGAACAAGUUACAAUGACUAAUUAACCUACCAACCGGUCCAUCUUUGAACUGUGGGAAGAAACUCAUAAUCCAUGGGGAGAACAUACAGACAGUGGCAGAACUGAACGCUGAACUGUUGGCAUCCUGAGCUGUAAAAGUGUCACGCUAACCAUUACACAGCCAUAGCACCAUAUAUAAAUGCACCUUGAGAUGCAUUUCCUUGCAGGCCUUUACAGGAAAAUUAAAAAAAACAACAGAUUUUGUGAAAACUAUACAUAAUGACUGACAAAUGACCAAUGGGCAAAAGAAGUCAAAUUGUGCAAAUAAGUAAAUAGUACUGAAAGCAUGUGUGGUAGAAUUCUUGAAAGUGAGUCUGUAGGAUGUGGAAUCAAAGUUUCAUCAAGCAGGAAGUAUAGAAGCCUGAAGUCCCACACCACUAGAUAAGGGCACACUCAGGUUGGAGGAACAACACCUUGUACUCUGUCUGGGUGGCCUCCAACCUGAUGGCAUGAACAUCAAUUUCUCGAACUUCUGAUAAUGCCCCCCCUUUCCCCUCUCUCACCUUAUCUCCCUGCUUGCCCAUCACCUCCCUCUGGUGCUCCUUCCCUUUUUCUUUCUCCCAUGGUCUUUGCCCUCUCCUGUCAGAUUCCCCCUUCUCCAGCCCUGUAUCUCCUUCACCAAUCAACUUCCCAGCUCUUUACUUCACCCCUCCCUCCUCCUGGUUUCACCCAUCCCCUUGCGUUUCUCCCCCCCCCCCCCCAACCUUCUAACUCUGACUCCUCAUCUUUUUUUUCUCCAGUCCUGCCGAAGGGUCUCGGCCAAAAUGUUUUACCAAAUUCCAGAACAGCUUCCCUCCCUCAACCCUCCCGUGCAAUCACAAAGAAGGCAUGUCACUUCAUUAUCUCACCAGAUUUCUACAGAUGUAUUGUAGACUGGUUGCAUCACAGCCAGCUAUGAAGGAACACGAGGCUGCAGAGGUUUGUAGACUUCAUUGUCUUCAUCACAAGCACACCCCUCUUCCCACCUUCAAGAAGCAGUGACUCAAGAAGGUAGCAAUCAUAACUGAGGACCCUCACUAUCCGGUACGGGCCCUCUUCCUGUCUUUGACAUACUAUCAUUAGCCCGAAGACCCAAACUCACAGAUUCAGAAGCAGCUUUCUCCCCCCUGCCAUCAGAUUUCUGAAAGGUCCAUGAACACUAUCUCGUCCCUUGUUCUUUGGCAGUAUUUAUUUUUUGUAUAAUUUAUAGUAAUUUUAUGUCUUUGCACUGUACUGUUGCUGGAAAGCAACAAAUUUCAUGUCAGCACACAAAAAAUGCUGGAGGAAUUCAGCAGGUCAGGCAGCACAAUAGAACCAUAGAACAUUACAGCACAGGAACAGCCCUUUUGGCCCUUCUUGGCUGUGCUGAACCAUUUUUCUGCCUAGUCCCACUGACCUGCACCUGGACCAUAUCCCUCCGUACAUCUCUCAUCCAUGUACCUGUCCAGGUUUUUCUUAAAUGUUAAAAGUGAGCCCAUUUCAUCUGGCAGCUCAUUCCACACUCCCACCACUCUCUGUGAAUAAGCCCCCCCCCCCAAUGUUUCCUUUAAACUUUCCCCCUUCACCCUUCACCAUGUCCUCUGGUUUUUUCCUCCCCUAGCCUCAGUGGAAAAAGACUGCUUGCAUUCACUCUAUCUAUACCCAUCAUAAUUUUAUACAUCUCUAUGAAAUCUCCCCUCAUCCUUCUACGCUCCAGGGAAUAAAGUCCUAACCUAUUCAACCUUUCUCUGUAACUCAGUUUCUCAAGUCCCAGCAACAUCCUUGUAAGCCUCCUCUGCACUUUUUCAAUCAUAUUAAUAUUCUUCCUGUAAUUUGGUGACCAAAACUGCACACAAUAUUCCAAAUUCCGCCUCACCAAUGCCUUAUACAACCUCACUGUAACAUACCAACUCAAUACUUUGAUUUAUAAAGGCCAAUGUACCAAAAGCUCUCUUUAUGUCCCUAUCUACCUGUGAUGCCAUUUUUAGGGAAUUUUGUAUCUGUAUUCCCAGGUCCCUCUGUUCUACUGCACUCCUCAGUGCCCUACCAUUUACCUUGUAUGUUCUACCUUGGUUUAUGGAGAGGAAUAAACAGUUGAUUUUUCAGGACGAGACCCUUCAUCAAGACAUGUCAUAUAAAACAGUGAUAAUAAACCUGGUUCUGAUUCCAAUUCUGACUGUUUGGUUCUUGAACCAACUGGCACAACCAUAAUCACCACAGUUUAUCAACACUAGGGCCACUUAGCACUAAAAUAGACUUUGUAUUUUUGUUCUAAUGGUGUCCUUUCUUGUAAAAAUUGUGUAUAAUUUAUGUUUUUCUCGUGAUUGCUGGUUAUUUAAUGCUGUGUGCCUGUGAUGCUGCUGGAUCAUCAGUAGAUGUGGUUGAUGGAGACCAAAGAAGAGGCCAGUCCGUUCUCUGAAAGGAGAGGAAAUUAUGUGCCGGGCGGUGGAAUCACAUUGAACAUGGCAGAAACAGCAAAGGACAAUGCUUUGGAUACAGGGGCUGAAGGAAACUUGAUCUUUGCCUCGCUCAGUAGGAGAGGGAGCCAAGAGAAAAGGCCCAGGAAAUAGAGGAGAUGAGGAGCUGUCAAAUAUGGUGUUAAAUAUAAAGUUAUAUUUAAUGUGUUUUCAUAAAGUCCUUCUGAUACCUAUGUUGAAUUUGUGAUGAGAGCACUAGGUCAGUUCCAUAUGUUACCUAUUAGCAGUUCUGGGUUUUACACUAUUAUUUGUCAUUUAUUGGGGAAUUUGUUUCCUUAAGGUUGUUGUAGCCAGUGGGGGAGGGGUGGAAUGGUAAUGGGGACAAGCUCCCACUACCUAUUAAAUGCUCCCAAUGGCCUGCGCCUCAAAUAGUCUCUGAAAAUCAAGUCCAGCUCCUGGCCUUCAGGUGUGGCUUAGAUACUAAGCUCAGUGCAACCAUUUCUACUGACAGGAGAAGGGGUGAAGGUGGGUUACUGGCACCUUACAACCAGUCAGGCUGGUUGGGCUCAUCAGCCAUAUUGGCAGCUCAUCUCAGAAGGAAAACUGUGAUCUCAAACCUCUGCUGCCUUGUGGCUAUACCCACUCAUGGGGUAGGUUUCAGGAGUAAACUUUGAGGGGAAAAUCCAGAGCUGGAGUCCCUAAGGCAGUCUUGUGUCAAGUUCAACACUGACCGACAACUCCUGCUGGUGCUAAACUGCAUUGGUCUCUGCUGUCCCUUUGGGUUCAUCAGAUGCGUGGAGAGGGGGAGCUUGCUACAUGGGCAACAGCUUGUUCUCCAUGUUGUACUGCUCAGGCUUGUCUAUCUAGAGAGUCAGGACACAACAUCCACGGUCAACCUUGGUCAACGAAGGCCUCAGAAUUGUGAAAUUUAUUUCUCAGCAUUUGGUUCAGGGUGUAUUUAUUAUUGACAAAAUCAAUACUUCCAUUGGCUGUGAUGAGAUCUUGUGAGGGAUUAGUUCUUGCAGCUUGCCAAAUGGUCUAUGAUUAAGUAUAACCACUAGUCCAUUUCCUGAAAAACAUCCAAUUCAUGUUAGCGUGUAAUCCAAUUGCAAGCGACUUUGUUUAGGCUGAUCAUAAAUUACUCUUCGACCCUUUCUCAUAGUUUUGUGAGCUGAUUGCUCUUUGGAUGCACCAGCCAACAGGAUAGAUCAGUUUAGUUUAAGCACUAAUUUGUCACAUACCCUUUCAAACCGCACCCUGUGAAGCUAGGGUUCCGGAACUGAUUGGCAGUAUCAUUGGAAGGUUGAGUGGAAGGUUCUUAUUGUUUGUUUAGUGCUACUAUUUUCUAAUUUAUUUACGAUGCACUGGCUGAUUUAACUGUUUCAUUGCCUGAUCUGUGGUGGGAUCCUGAGAUGUGUUCUCUCCGGUAACUAACCCCCCCCUAAAUGUUUUGUGUUGAGUUAUCCGGUCGACUGCCAUCAAAGUGAGUCAUAGAGCAGGGAAACAGGCCAUUCGGCCCACUAAUUCCAUAUGGACCAGUGGAUACCCACCAGUAUUAACCCCAUCCUUCGGCACUUGAGCCGCAGUCCUCCGUUCCUGGGUGAUCCGAGUGCUCAUCUAUACACUCCCAAUGACUCUAUUCUCACUACUCCAGCAAUAUGUUCUAGGUACUCACCAUUCUCUGGAUGAUGAACUACCCCUCAGAUCCCCUCCUAAUCUUUUACCCCCCCCCACCCCUUUACCUAAGACCUAUGCUUCUAGUUUUAUUUAAUUCUGAAAGGAGAAAGGUUCCUGUCUAUACCCUUCAUAAUUUAGAUACCUCUUUUACGUCCUCUCCCAACCUCAGUGAGAAUAGUGCCAUCUCUCCUCAUCACUGAAACCCAGGCAACAUCCUGCUGAAUCCCCUCUGCACUCUCACAUCUUUCAGGCCUAACCCGAAGCUUGAGGAGUGAUUCUGGUUAGAACUCGGAAUCAGGAUCAGGCUUAACUCUCACCACCCACACCCCUCUUUCCAUCAGCGGCGCAGCAGUGGAAACUGUGAGCAGUUUCAAACUCCUGGGAGUCCACAUCACACACAAACCUUUACGGUCCCAGGACACGUCCUACACAACCAGGAAAGCUCACCAACAUCUCUACUUUCCGAGGAAGCUGAAGAGAGCCAGACUUUGCACAAAUAAUAUUCACAGCCUUCUACAGAUGCGCGGUAGAGAACUUCCUAACAUGCUAUGUCACCGUGCCAUGUGGUAUGGAAUCUGGACUGUGGUGGAGAGGAAGCAUUACAAUGGCUAGUCAAAACUGGCCAAUGUAUCACUGACACCAGCCUCCCCACCAUCAAAGAAAGGUGCUGGAAAAGAGCCUGCAAUAUCCCGCCCACCCACCCUGCUCAUGGACUGUUUGUCUCACUCCCAUCAGGGAGGAGGCUGCGUAGCAUCUACUUUACAGCCACCAGACCCCAAAACAGCUAAAUUCCCCAAGCAGUAUGGCUGAUCAACACCUCCGCCCACUAACCCACCAUUCCACAACCCCAACACCAUUGCUUCAUCAUUUCCCAUCAGUCACCUUAUAUACAGACACUCCUCUACCUGGUGUCACUUUAUGUGUAUAUAAUCAAUCUAUGGAUAUAAGCUAUUUUAGGUAUUUAUAUUUGUUGUGUUUUUUAUUAUUGUGUGCUUUAUUUUAUUGUGUUUUUUUGUGCUGCAUCAGAUCCGGCAUAGCAAUUAUUUAAUUCUCCUUUACACUUGUGUACUGGAAAUGACAUUUAACAAUCUUGAAUACGUCAUGAAAUCUGUUAUCUUGUGACAGCAGUAGAGUGCAAUACUUAUAAGGAUAUAUAAAAAAUAGUGCAGAUAGAGAGCAAAAUGGUGAGGAAGUGUUCGUGGUUCAUAGGCUGUUCAGAAAUCUGAUUGAUGAGAAGAAAAAGCUGUUCCUAAAGUGUUGAGUGUGUGUCUUCAGGCUCUUGUAUCUCCUCACUGAUGGUAGCAAUGAGAAGAGGGUAUGUCCUGGAUGUUGGGGGUCCUUGAUGUUGGAUGCCGCCCUUUCGAGGCAUCACCUUUUGAAGACAUCCUUGAUGGCGGGGAAGCUAGUGUCCGUGACGGAGCUGCUUAGCCUACAGCCCUCUGCAGAUUUUUCUGUUCUUGUGCAGUGGCACCCCCCACCCACCAUAUCAGAUGGUGUGGCAAGCAGUUAGGAUGCUCUCCACGUUACACCUGCAGAAAUUUGCUGCAGUCUUCAGUGACACACCGAAUCUCCUCAAACUUUUAGUGAGAUAGAGCCGCUGGCAUGCCUUCUUUGUAAAUGUAUCAGUAUGUUGGGCCCAGGAUAGAUCUUCAGAGAUGUUGACACCCAGAAACUUGAAACUGCUCACCUUUCCACCUUGAUGAGGACUGAUGUGUGUUCUGACUUUCCAGUUCUACUUUUGACUGUAUAAGGCUCUACUAAACUGUGCUGGGGUAAAUAAAACUGACCUCUGAUCCUGAAUUACUCUCAGCUGCUUAUUGGAGGUAACUGUCCGAGACGGCUCCAUCAGUUACUGGUUGUUGCGAGGUCUGCCUUGUCCUGUUCUGUCCAUUUUAACCUUCCACUGGUGCUGCUGUAUGCAAGGAUGAAGUGGGGGGGGGGGGGGCUAAAAUUACUAGCAUCUCCAGCCGGAGACUGGACCUCUAGUGGGAUGAGGGAGAGUCAGCCAUGACUGAAUGGCCAAAUUUUACUCCUAUGUCUUCUGGUCUUAUGGAAGAACGUAACACAGUCACUUGAAAAUAAGAUUGACGAUUUCGGGGCAAGGCUGCUCUAUCAGAGGCAGGUGAGACAGAUCUCAAUUGUUAGUUGCGUUGAGACUUGGUUAACAGCGAACAUAUCGGAAGCAGCUAUCUGACCAGAAGGUUUUACAAUUUUCAGAAUGAAUCAAACCUGGAAUUCUGGUAAGGAUAAAGGCAGAAGUGUUUGCUCUUUAGUCAAUUCUCAUUGGUGCAUAGAUGUUGGGUUUAUGUCAGCUUCUUGUUCCCCUGACUUACAGUUAGAGGUAGACCAUUCUAUUUGGCUUGGGAGUUCUCAUCCACGAUCCUGACUGCAGCUUACAUACCACCAGUGGCCAAUUAUAAGCAAGCACUCGCUGAACUGCACGAUGCUGUCUGUAAACAAGAAAUGCUCCAUCCCAACACAUGUCAAAUUAUAGUCGGCAACUUUAACUAGGUAGGCCAGUUUGAAGAAAACCUUGCCUAAUUAGCACAUAACCUGUUGCAGCAGAGGUCCCAACACAGACCACUGCUACACCACGAUAAAAGAAUGCCUAUCGUUCCUAGCCGAGACCACAUUUUGGCAAGUCAGAUCAUUUGGCUGAACUCCUGUUACCCGCAUACAGACAGAGCCUGAAGAGCAAGGGUCAAGAGAUCAAGACGACCAAGUGGUUGUCACGGGAGGCUGAGGAAUGGCUAUAGGAUGGCUUUGUGUCAGUGGACUGGGCUGUAUUCAAGAACUACUCUGAGGACCUGAAUGACUACAGUGGGGUCAUUACAGACUUCAUUAAAACAGCUGUGGAUGAGAGUGUACCCACAUAAUCGUUCAGCAGUUUCUCCAAUCAGAAGCCCUGGAUGAACAAUGAAAUCUGGAACCUGCUGAGAGCCUGAUCAGAGGCACUCAAGUCUGGAGAUCAAGAAUGCUACAAGAGGUGAGGGUAUGAUCUCUGGAAAACCAUCUCUUGGGCAAAGUGGAGAUUCCCAACUAGACUGGAAGCAACAAGGGAUGUUCGACAGCUGUGGCAGGGUUUGAAUACCAUAAACUCCUACAAAGUUAAACCUUGCGACAUAGGGGACAGAAGAGCUUCACUUCCAGAUGAGCUCAAUGCCUUCUAUGCUCGCUUUGACCACCAGAGCACGGGGAACCAUUGUGCACCCCCAUGUCUCCCGGUGAUCCUUUGGUCUCAGUAUCUGAAGAUGACAUGCUGGCUGCCUUCAAGAGAGUGAAUCCAAAGAAAGCAUCCAGUCCGAUCGAAGUAUCUGGCCAAGUACUAAAGACCAACUGGCUGGCGUAUUCACAGAGAUCUUCAACCUCUCGCUCCGGCAGUGUGUGGUACCCACCAGUUUCAAGCAGGCUUCAGUUGUACUGGUGCCCAAGAUGGUGUGGUAACCGGUCUCAAUGACUGUCGCCCAGUGGCACUUGCGUCCACAGUGAUGGAGUGUUUUGAGAGGCUGGUGUUGAAGCAUAUCAACUCCUGUCUGAAUGGUGACUUGCAUCCACUCCCAUUUGUCUACUGAAGCAACAAGUCUACAGCAGAUACCAUCUCAUUGGCUCUUCACACAACUCUGGAACAUCUGAACAGCAAAGAUGCAAACAUCUGGAUGCUCUUUAUCGAUUACAGCUUGGCAUUUAACACCAUCAUCCCCUCAAAGCUAAUCAGCAAACUCCAAGACCUGGGCCUCAAUACCCCCUUGUGUAAUUCGAUCUUGAAUUUCCUCACUUGUAGAUGCCAGUCAGCGAAUUGGCAAAAACAUCUCCUCCACAAUCUCCAUCAGCACAGGAGCACCGCAGGGAUGUGUGAUUAGCCCCCUGCUCUACUUGCUUUACACCACUGACUGUGUGGCUAAGUACAGCUCCAACACCACAUACAAGUUUGCUGACGACACCACUGUUGUGGGUUGUAUCAAAGGGGGUGAUGAAUCAGGGAGGGAGAUCGGAUACUUGGCUGAGUUAUGAAAUAACAACAACCUCUCACUCAAUGUUAAUAAGGCCAAGGACCUGAUUGUAGACGUCAGGAGAGCGAAACCAGAGGUCCAUGAGCCAGUGAUCAUCGGAGGAUCAGAGGUGGAGAGGGUCAGUAACUUUAAAUUCCUGGAUGUCACUUUCUCAGUGGACCUGUCCUGGACCUAUCAUAUAAAUAUUAUUGUGAAGAAAGCAAGAUAGCGCCUCUACUUCCUCAGGAGUCUGCAGAGGUCUGGCACGUCAUCACAAGCCUUGGCGAACUUCUAUAGAUGCAUGGUGGAAAGUGUGCUGACCGUCUGCAUUACAGCCUGGUAUGGGAACACCAAUGCCUUUGAGUGGAAAAUCCCUCAAAAGGAGCGGAUUCAGCCCAGUACAUCACAAGUAAAGACCUCCCAACUAUUGAGACAUCUACAUGAAACAUUGCUGCAAGAAAGCACCAUCCAUCAUCAAAGAUCCUCACCACCCAGGCCAUGUUCUUUUCUCGCUGCUGCCAUCAGGUAGAAGGUACAAAUGCCUCAGGACUCACACCAGCAGGUUCAAGAACAUUACCACUCCUCAACCAUCAGGCUGUUGAACAAAAGGGGAUAACCACACUCAUUUAAGGACUCUGUUAUAUUGUUAUUUCAUGCUUGUUACUUACAGCUAUUUAUUUAUACCAGUUUGUUUACAGUUUAUAGUUCCUGAUGUAUGCAGUUUAGUUACUGUUCUAUAGAUUUGCUAAGGAUGCCUGCAGAAAAAGAAUCCCAGGGUUGUAUGUAGUCUGAUAAUAAAUUUUACUUUGAACUUUGGUGUUCAUGAGCAUUCCCCCGCUUUGUCCCUCUGCCUGCCGGUUGUUGUGUGGGCCUUCUGGUUUCAGAUGGCACUACAAGGACUCUAAGAUGACAGUACUGAGGGAUUUCCACACAGCCUGAGGGGCCAUUUUUCAUUUGACUUGCUACUAGGUCCUGGUAGGGUGUGAAAGAUCCCAUGACCCAUUUCAAAGAAGAACAUUAGCUCACCCUAGUGCGGGGGUCGGCAACCCGCGGCUCCGGAGCCACAUGUGGCUCUUUUACGUCUGUGCUGCGGCUCCCUGUUGCUUUGGGAAAUAAUUGGUUGUGGCGACCCUUUUCCUGGCACAUCCAAACCGACUCACAAUUAGAUAGCCUACGGGGGUUUGCGAGCACAGAGCUUUGGAGCCUCUGCGCCAUGGGGGGCAGGUUGAGGGAGGCUUAAAAGUGAGGCUGAAGAUUUCGAAUAAAGUUUUUUCCUUCGACUGCA
Hypanus sabinus (Atlantic stingray) is the source of this 10055-nucleotide long non-coding RNA. RefSeq lists it as uncharacterized. The record is from RefSeq and is a predicted model, not a curated record. NCBI's taxonomy places the organism in Eukaryota, Metazoa, Chordata, Chondrichthyes, Myliobatiformes, Dasyatidae. The transcript is spliced from 2 exons.